GACGAGAAAAGGGGAGCAUCCUCUGAGUAAAGCGGCGCACGGGUGAGUAACACGUGGGUAACCUACCCUAGAGUGGGGAAUAACACCGGGAAACCGGUGCUAAUACCGCAUACGAUCACGAUGUCUUCGGAUGUUGUGAUGAAAGGAGCAAUUCGCUCUUGGAGGGGCCCGCGGCUGAUUAGCUUGUUGGUGAGGUAACGGCUCACCAAGGCUACGAUCAGUAUCCGGUCUGAGAGGACGGUCGGCCACACUGGCACUGAAACACGGGCCAGACUCCUACGGGAGGCAGCAGUGGGGAAUCUUGCACAAUGGGCGAAAGCCUGAUGCAGCGACGCCGCGUGAGCGAUGAAGCCCUUCGGGGUGUAAAGCUCUUUCGACGGGAACGAUAAUGACGGUACCCGGAGAAGAAGCCCCGGCUAACUACGUGCCAGCAGCCGCGGUAAAACGUAGGGGGCCAGCGUUGCUCGGAAUUACUGGGCGUAAAGGGUCCGUAGGCGGUGUGGCAAGUUGGUAGUGAAAUCUCUGGGCUUAACCCAGAGGCUGCUGCCAAAACUGCCAUGCUAGAGUGUGAGAGAGGCGAGUGGAAUUACGGGUGUAGCGGUGAAAUGCGUAGAUUCCGUAGGAACAUCCGAGGCGAAGGCGGCUCGCUGGAUCACAACUGACGCUGAGGGGACGAAAGCUAGGGGGAGCAAACAGGAUUCAGAUACCCUGGUAGUCCUAGGCCCUAAACCAUCCAGGAACUUUGGGGGUUGUGCCCCUUGGUACACGGGGGGCAACGUCCCCGGUAAAGCUAACAGG
Molecule: ribosomal RNA, 798 nt
Filed under: uncultured bacterium
Lineage: Bacteria
Description: bacterial SSU rRNA
Rfam family: Bacterial small subunit ribosomal RNA
Source: RNAcentral